Molecule: long non-coding RNA, 2069 nt
Filed under: Homo sapiens (human)
Lineage: Eukaryota; Metazoa; Chordata; Mammalia; Primates; Hominidae
Description: non-protein coding lnc-GALNT6-4:2
Source: RNAcentral
GCAGUGUAAGUGAGGAAGAGGGCAUAGGGUGGAGUAGUCGGAUGGAAUGCAUGGUUUGAAGAAUCCUAUUUAUCGGGCUGAAAAAUGGUUCCCAUUCCAUCCCAACUCGAAGCUGGGGCCCCUGAAAGGGUCUGACAGUCCUGGCUAACCCCUGGAAAGUUAGCCAAGUCUCCACCGGUGGUUGUUGCUGGCAAUGGAGGGGAUGGAGCUGAGCUCUCAGGAGAAACUGCAGAGGCUUUGCGGUGCCCCAAGGUACCAAGUGAGAACUAGAGAGGAGGGUCCAAGCCCACGGAGCUGGGCAAACAGUCCUGUACCCCAACGCUAACAAGAAGCCAAGGGUGCUGCUGCUGAUGAUGGAGGCAGCGGUGGACCAGUUCAGCCCAGCACCUGCCUCAGAGUGAAGCUCCUGUUCCCUGUUUGUCAGCAUUCUGUGUGCAGUAAUGCUCAUCAGAUGAUAAAGACUUCGUUCCUUUGUGGAAAAUGUCCCCAAGAAGAAAUCCUGGAGCCCUCCUUGACUGUUGUCUUUCUCUCAAGCCUCACAUGGAAUCUGUUGGCACAUCCAGAAUCUCACCUCUUUCACCAGGGCUACACCCCUGCUCCAAGUCACCAUUAUCUUUCACCUGAAUUGUUUCAACAGAUUCUUGGCUGGUAUUCCUGUUUCCACCCUGGCCCCUCUUUGGUCUUUUCUCAACUCAAUAUCAAGAGGGAUCCUUUUAAAUAUAGAGUAGAUCAAGUUACUCUACUCAAACCCUCUAAUGGCAAUAAAAGCCAAAAUCCGUAUGGUGAAUGACAGGGCUUCUGUGAUAGGCCCCAUUAACGCUCCAACUUCAUCUCCCUGUAUCUGCUUGCACCAUGCGUGCUCACUGGCCAAACCUGUUACUCAAACACACCAGGCAUGGUCCCUUCUCAGGGCCUUUGCACCUGCGGAUCCUUCUGCCUGGAGCUCUUUUCCUCCAGACAGCCACAGGGGGCCCUCUUAUUUCCCUUAGAUAUUAACAUUACUAUCUCCUUUACAGUGAAACCUUCCCUGACCAAAACUCAAAAUUCCAACUCCAUCCCCAACUCUUCCUAAUCCCCUUCCCUGCUUUAUUUUUCUCCUCGGCAUGUAUUGUUAUCUAACAUACUAUGUAUUUUAUUUAUUUAUCUUGUUUAUUGUGUGACUCUCCCACUAGACCAUAAAUUCUAGGAGGGCAGGGCUCUAUCUUCACUACCUAGCAUGCUGUCUAUUAAGCAUUUCAAAUAAAUGUGUUGAAUGAAUAACGAAAACUGAAAUGGGGAAAAAUGUAUGGUUUUGGCACAGGGUUAAACAAAUAAAUCAAUGGAGCAGAAUAGAAAUCCCAGAAACAGACCCCCAAUAUUUGAACUCCUGGUGUAUGACCACACGGGGCAUUGCAGAUCAACUGGGAAACAACAGAUUUUUCAAUAAAUGGUGCUAGAAUGAUUGGGUAAUUACUUGGAAAAUAAUGAAAUUAGAGCCAUAGUUCCAGGUGAAAUAAAGAUCUAAAUGUGAAAGCCAGAACUAUAAAGCCUUUGAAUGUAAUACUGGAAAAUAACUUCAUGACCUCAGGGAAAAGGAUUUCUUAAACAAGAUACGAAAAGCGCUCUCUAUAAAGGAAAAGACAAAUUCAGACCUGCUAAAAUUAAGAGUGUCUAUUUUUCAAAAGAUACAAUAAAGAAAGUGAAAAGACAAGUUACAAGGUAGGAAAAAUAUUUGAAACAUACAUAAUUGGCAUGGAUCUAAGAUUAAGAACUUCUAUAAUCGAGAGUAAAACAACCAUUAGAAAAUGGGCAGAAAGGCUGGGUGUGGUGGUUCACACCUGUAAUCUCAGCACUUUGGGAGGCCAAGGCGGGUGGAUCACUUGAGGUCAGGAGUUCGAGACCAGCCUGGCCAACAUGGUGAAACCCCGUCUCUACUAAAAAUACAAAAAUUAGCCGGGCAUGGUGGCAGGGCCUGUAAUCCGUUACAUGGGAUGCUGAGGCAGGAGAAUUGCUUGAACCUGGGAGGCGAAGGUUGCGGUGAGCCGAGAUCGUGCUACUGCACUCCAGCCUGGGCAAUAAGAGCAAAACUC